RNAcentral lists this ribosomal RNA (468 nucleotides) under uncultured bacterium. Its description in RNAcentral is "partial 16S ribosomal RNA". It matches the Rfam family "Bacterial small subunit ribosomal RNA", at positions 28 to 507 of the family's 1533-position model. The record is from RNAcentral.
GACGAACGCUGGCGGCGUGCUUAACACAUGCCAGUCGAACGGAAAGGCCCUGCUUUUGUGGGGUGCUCGAGUGGCGAACGGGUGAGUAACACGUGAGUAACCUGCCCUUGACUUUGGGAUAACUUCAGGAAACUGGGGCUAAUACCGGAUAGGAGCUCCUGCUGCAUGGUGGGGGUUGGAAAGUUUCGGCGGUUGGGGAUGGACUCGCGGCUUAUCAGCUUGUUGGUGGGGUAGUGGCUUACCAAGGCUUUGACGGGUAGCCGGCCUGAGAGGGUGACCGGCCACAUUGGGAUUGAGAUACGGCCCGGACUCCUACGGGAGGCAGCAGUGGGGAAUAUUGCACAAUGGGCGGAAGCCUGAUGCAGCAACGCCGCGUGCGGGAUGACGGCCUUCGGGUUGUAAACCGCUUUCGCCUGUGACGAAGCGUGAGUGACGGUAAUGGGUAAAGAAGCACCGGCUAACUACGUG